This 166-nucleotide non-coding RNA is filed under the name uncultured Solibacillus sp. Lineage: Bacteria; Bacillati; Bacillota; Bacilli; Caryophanales; Caryophanaceae. The record is from RNAcentral.
UUAUCACGGUACUACUAAAUGUAGUUUAAAAGGGAAGUUUGGUGCAAAUCCAACGCUGUCCCCGCAACUGUAAAUGCUGACUGAAGACUAAAAUUGCCACUGUGCCACGUGCAUGGGAAGGUAUGUCUGACGGAUGAUGCAAAGCCAGGAGACCUGCCGUGUUAAA